Molecule: long non-coding RNA, 22574 nt
Organism: Mus musculus (house mouse)
Lineage: Eukaryota; Metazoa; Chordata; Mammalia; Rodentia; Muridae
Product: predicted gene, 39452
Exons: 2
Source: RefSeq, a predicted model, not a curated record
UUUAAGGAUAGCCUCAGCUACAUAGUUUAAGGAUAGCCUCAGCUACAUAGUUUAAGGAUAGCCUCAGCUACAUAGUUUAAGGAUAGCCUCAGCUACUUGAGAGCCCAUCUUGUCUCAAUAAAAAAUAAAGUACAAUACAAUACGAUACGAUACAAUACAAUACAAUACAAUACAAUACAAUACAAUACAAUACAAUAAAACAGAGAAGAUAUUACUGAGUAGAACAAUAUUUUGGUCUCUGUUUCUGCACAAUACACAACUGAUUUCUGGUUUUUAUCUUAUUUCUAGAGCAGGCAUUUGUGUCUAUGUUUUAGCCCUGCAUUUGUGAUUCCCGUUAUGUUUGUCUUUCGGUAGCUUUUGCAUUACCCACCUCUGUAUGGGAUACACUCUGGAAUAAGUGAUACUUAGUAAGUCAUAUUUUAAACUAAACGGCUUGGUCUAAUUUAUGAAGCCAUUUGGACUGGAAGAGCCCUACAGCGAACCACAUAGCUCAUCCCCCCUUUCCUAGCAUAGUGGGAGAGAUUUUUAUUGUCUAUAAAAUCCAUUCUGGGUGGGUAUCUAUUCUCAGCCUUCAUUAUCUCUGGUGUUAGCGAUUCCACAGCCUCCCUUGGCAGUCUUCCCUAUUGCUGAGCUAGCCUUGCUUAUUAAUCCUGUAAUAAUACCUUAUGUUCUCCAAAUAUUGAGGCAAUGCUCAUCUCCCCUGCUACCUGAUCCCUCCCUGACCACCCUUCGAAAUGGUUCUGGUGUGUGCGCGUGUGUGUGUGUGUGUGUGUGUGUGUGUGUGUGUGUAGGUGACUAAGUAAGCACACAGUAACAAAUGAUGUGGUAUGUACUCUUGUCCUGAGGCAUUGUGCAAGGGGCUCCUUAGGAUGGACAUUGUCAGUCCAUAGAAAAUUAAGCUAUUAAAUCUGCAGCACCAGGGUGGUGAUGGACUGGCUCUUGCCAUGGGAUGAAAUUGCUUUGCAGACAUAUGAAUUUUACAGCCAGGAGUGCUCAUCCCUCCUUGUGCACGUUAAUGGUAUUGAUAGAUUAAUGUGAUGAUUUAGGGGCGAUUGCUGAUUUGUCUGUGCUGGUUUGGGGCCAAGAGCGUCAACUAGACCGGUCCUAGCAGGGUCCGGUCCACAGCUUGUCCUGGGAACAGAACUGAUUACACACAGAUGCAGGAAGAUGACUCAGUUGGUAAAGUGCAUUCUCUGCUCGCGUGAGUACCUGAGUUCAAACUUCACGACUCAUGAAAAACAGAUGGGUGUGGCAGCGAACACUUGAAAUCUCAACAUCAAAAAGGCAGAGACUGGAGGAUUCCUAGGGUGCCUAGGCCAGCUAGCUUAGCCUCCUCUGUGAGCACCAGGCCAAUGAGAGAGGUGAAAAGCAUCUAUGUAACAGCAACACAGUUUGUCUUUGGGAUACACACACAUGCAUACACACACACACACACACACACACACACACACACACAAGUGCAUGCUCACAUAUACACAGUGUGCACCACACACAGACAUGUCAUCAUGUACAUCUACAUACCUAAAUACUGUAUUUUAAAACUAUUUUACUCUUUUAAUUGUUUUUCGUGUGUGUGUGCAUGUGUGUGUGUGUGUGUGUGUGUGUGUGUGUGUGUGUGUGUGCGUGCGUGCGUGCAUGCACUAUACAGAGUAUGUGGCAGUCAGAGGACAAUAUUCGGGAAUCCAGUCUCUCUCCACCAUGUGGGAUCUAGGGAUCAAAGUCUGGCGCCUUUAUCCACUGAGCCAUCUCAUUGGCCCACAAAAGUUGUCAACGUGGGGAUUGGACAAGGAGCCUGAGCUUAGCAAUCUGUCCUUCUGGAAGCUGGCACCAUAGCGGUCUAUCCUUCAACCCUCUUGCCUUGCUCCGUGCUUCUAUCCCAAGCUAGCAGUGUGUUGCUUGUGCUGGUUGGCAUGGCUUGUGUUUUCUUCCGAGGACUUCCCAGGACGGCUACAGAGUUGAGGCGACUGAAGUUCAUGCCUCCUCUGGUCCACGUGAAAUCUCACAUCCUUCCGUGUGCCUGAAGACAAGCUGUGACAUCCAACUUCCAGCCUGUGCCUCUCUGGUGGGCUCUUAACUGGAGGAAUUGUUUCUAGGAAAAUUCACCUUCUCGUGCCUCCCUUUCUCUGAUGACAGCACCAGAUGAGCGUAAGCAUUUUAGCCUAGGAGCCUCUGAGAUCCUCUUCUUUGCAUCUAGAAAAGUGCACUCCGGACCUCAGGCUUCACUCUGCAGUCUACCUGCAGUGUGGCUAGCUGAUUUGGUUUCUGUGGACGUUGUUCUCGUGGCAAACGCAUCGGGUCUCACACAUACAGACAAGAAGCAUCGGAUCUCACACAUGCAGACAAGAAGCAUCGGGUCUCACACAUGCAGACAAGAAGCAUCGGGUCUCACACAUACAGACAGGAAGCUUUGUUCCGGGAUUGACUACCUUGGACUUGAAUUGUGCUGAGGUCACAAAAGUUACUCAGUUUUCAGACCGAGCAAGGUCCACUGUGGGGAAUUCACUUUGGAGGAAGUAUUAGUCCCCAUCUUCUGAACCUGAGGUGUCUAUCAAUUAGAGUGUGAAUCACACACUCCAGAAACAAUAGAUGAGUUUGACUUUCAAGUGGGGCAUGAGUCUUUGCACUCCCCUCACUGGGAGCUCAAGUGGCUUGUCCUGCCUCAUAGCUACCUGGUUACCACGGCGGAAGGCCUGUGUUCCUGGGAGUAGACAGUCCUCCGCCCACUCCCCUCUGUCCCCCUUGCCCUCUCUUGCUCUGUUCCUACAACACUGUAAGAUUUCUAUUAUUUCACUCAAAUAAAAUGUGCAUACCCAGCCCAGUUGAUACAAAAGCAUGAGAAAAGUUAAAGACCAAUAGCAAGUAAGAAACUGAUGUAUUUUGACAUGAAGCAAAUGAAGAUCUUAAUGUUUCACAUUGUUUUCCUCCCUAGAAUCUUUAUCCACAAAUAAUAUAUGGGGUCUUGUAACCAGCCGCAGAAUAAUGCCAAAUGGGAGAGAGUUCUUCUCACCAAACCCUCACAGUGUAUUUUACUUCCACAACAGCCUGUGGGGAGGACAGGUCUAGUCACUGUCAGUGUCCUUGCUCCAACCCCAGCACAAGUCCAUUGUGUAUCUGAGUGUGUGUCUUCGGCUGACAUGCUGUAGGAAUGCAAACUGGGAAACAUGCUUUAUCUGAGAAAUGGAGGCCUCACUUUUUUUUUUUCUUUGAAGAAUGAAAGCAGAUCUGAAUAUGCCACGAAUUAGCCUGAGGCACCCAAGACAACUUGCCUGGUCAUGAAUGUUCCAGAAACUAUUGUUGCAAUUUAGAACAGCAUGCUCAUUGUAGUGUGGCUGUUUCUUUUAGCACUAAGUCCUGAGAUGAAUAGCUGAGGGCUCCAGUCAUCCUCUCUCUUUUUCCCAGAAUGCCCUUCACAUGGGUGGUGUGUCACAAAUGGUUUCGCAUCACCUGGGACUCUAUUUCUUGUGUUUUCUCAGAGCAAUUUUCCAAGGUCCUGUCCCAAAUACAUAAUUGAUAACAUUGAAAACUAAGCAAGGAAAUUGUAUUUACGUAGCCUGUUUCUGCAAUCAUUAGCAGGCUGACUUUGCGGUGAGAAUUCAGAGUCUAAUUAGCUUAGGACUAUGUUCUAGGAUGCUGGCAUGCCCCUGUGGCAGAUCUACAGGUCGUUACUUUCUCAGCUACUCUCUGAACCAUACGGGAAUCCUAGGAGUAGAAAGUACACAUCGAAGCACUUUCAUACCAGGAACACCUAACCAUUAAUCCUUUAACUAUGCAUUCCUUCUGUUUGAUUGGCAUCUUCUUAGAAGUAUGUGAGUGUGUGUGUGUGUGUUCCAUAUGUAGAGUCCUAUUUGCACCGGUUGCUGUUCUUUCAGAGGGAAAAAAAAGUAAGCAAGGAGGUGCACUUUCAUCUCUUUGCUGAGAUAAAGCAUCAUUUCCUAAAGUAACUUGGGGGAAAAGGGGGUCUAUUUGGCUCAUAAUCACAGGUUAUACUCCAUUAUUACUAGGAAGUGUCCGCGGUAAGGGGCUUGAGGCCACUGGUCAUACGUAUAUAUCCAUAGAUCAAAUGCACCCAUGUUGUCUACUUGUUUUCAUCUAGCCAUCUCCUGUUCUAUAUAGUUCAGAACCACCUGCCCAGGGAAUGGUGCUGCCCGAAGUGGGCUGGGGUCACCUCACAUCAAUUAAUAAUCAAAAUGACACCCUCUCCCAGAUGUGGCCACAGACUAACCUGAGCUGGAUAGCUCCUCAUUAGGCCUCUCCCCAGAUGAUUCUAGGUGAGUCAAGCUGACAUUAAAAAACAAAAAACAAAAAAGACUAUCAAGGUUCUGUCAAGCUCUAAAGCUAGAUUCAGCUCAUCUAGGCCUGUCCUUUUCAUGGCCUGAUCCAACCUGGAACAUUAUUUCCUUCAUUUGUCAACAGAGAUGAGACAAGCCACAGUUAUUCGCAUCUAGGUCACCCUGACAAGUUUGUGCUCCAUUAGAAAGAAAGCAGGGAUGCCCAAUGCCAUCUCAUGUUACUACACUGUGGUGAGCAAUACAAUAUUCAUUGUGAGGAAGACAUCUUCAGAGACCAUUGCAGAACCUCAGAAGUGCAAAUGAAAGGUAAUAUUCCACUAUAGUCUUGGCAAAGCCUUUUUAACUCUAAAGGACAUCAAAACCAAAUAAGGCCAAGGAGACAGGUCAGUGGGUAAAGCCCCUGGAAAGCAAUGUGUGAAGGACCCCCAGAGCCCCCAUAAAGCCAGACAGGAUAGCAUGUGUCUGGUGUCCAUAAUCCCAGGGCUCCCUAUUAUCAGGAAAAUGACAGAGAAAUCUCCAGAGCUCCUUGGCCAGCUAGCCCUGCUUAUACAAUAGCGAGCAACAAAAGACCCUGUCUUAAGAUGGAAGGUAAUGAACCCAUCUGAGCUGUACUCUGGCUUCCAUGGACAACCAGGGGCUCACAGAGUCUCAUAGGCAUCCACUUUAAUACAUGAACAUACCACGCACAUGCACACGCACUUGACCAUGCACAUGCACUCUCGUGCGCGCACACACACACACACACACACAAACACACACACACACACACACACAGAGAGAGAGAGAGAGAGAGAGAGAGAGAGAGAGAGGCGAGCACAUGCACACAUGAUUUAAAACAAACAGUAACAACUUCUACCAGUUGACUGAGGCUUGAGAUAUUUUCCAAAGGGUGUUGUACGUGCUGAAGUUUUGUCUCAAUUGCCUAGCUGCUGUGUAGAAAGGAAUGUGGUAUUUCCUUUAUUAAUUGGAUUAGGCUAUAAGUUUAAUAUGGCUCCCGGUUCUUCACAGGCUAGCUCCAAAGUCUUGAUUAGUUCAUGUUUACAGGAAGAAAAGUCCGUGCAAGUCAGUGGGGAAGCUGCAAAGCAGAUGGCUGUGUUUAGCAUUUCUGUGGUCAGAUGAACCGCGUUUGCUUCCAGUCCUAGAAUGGAAGAGGAGUUGCUCAACUCUUGGAUUAUGCCUUUAUUUUCCUCAUCUGUUCAGUGGGAGUACAUUGAUGUCUAAACUACUUACCAUAGGACACCUAGAAAAUACUAGUUAAUAUUAAGGGUAAAAUCCUGUGUGAAACAUAUUUUUAUCUUUAGCUUGUAUGAUGAUAAUCUAAGUUUGUUUUGUUUUGUUUUGUUUUUACUGUACCAAAUUAUAAUACAAAUAUAACUUAGUGUUUGAGGUUCCAUCCAGAUUUGAGAGUAUAAAUGUGUCUUUAAAAAUACGGGGAGUUAGCCAGCAUGGUGGCAUAUACCUUUAAUCCUAGCACUUGGCAGGCAGAGGCAGGCAGAACUCUGUGAGUUCAAGGCUAGCCUGGUUUACAGAGUGAGUUCCAGGACAGCCAGUACCGCACAAAGAAACUGAGUCUUACAAAACCAAACCAAACAAAACAAACAAGAAUAUGAGGAGCUGAUGAGCUGCCUCAGCAGCUAAAGAUGCUUGUUACAAAGUGUGAUGACCUGAGUUUCAUCAUCUGGGGACCCACAUAGUGGAAGGAGAGAACCCACGUCAGCACCUGUCCUCUGACCUCCAUUGCUGUGGCACAAAUACACAGUAAUGUGACACAGACUAGAGUCAUCUGGGAAGAGGGAACCUCAGUUCAGGGAGGGCUCCGUCAGACUGGUCUGAAGGCAUUGUCUUGAUUAUUGGUUGAAGUGGGAGGGCCCAGUCCCCUGCAGGCAUUGACACCCUUGGGCAGAUGGGCUGGAAGGGGAGGAAGAAAGAUGAACAUGAACUUGGGAACAAAUGGGUAAGCGAUGCCUCUCCAAGGUUCCUGCCUCUCAUCCAGUUUGAGUUCCUGCCUGGCAACCUCUCUCUGCAACCAGCUGUGAUCAGGGCGUGGCAGGCAAAGAAACACUUUCCUCCCCAAGACGCUUUUGGCCAGGGCUUUAUCACUGAAAUACAAAGCAUAUAAACACACACAUACACACACACACACACACACACACACACACAAACAAACAAACAAACAAACACAUAAUAAAGUUAGUGUUAAACCUUAGCUGGGAUUUUUUUUUUAAAGUAAGAGACUAUUUUGUCUGCUUUGGACCAGGGCUUUAUCACAGAAAUAUAAAACAAAUCAAUACACACACACACACACACACACACACACACACACACACACACACAGAGAGAGAGAGAGAGUGAGAGAGAGAGAGAGAGAGAGGGAGAGAGAGAGAGAGAGAGAGAGAGAGAAUACAUAAGAAAAUAAAUAAAUAAAAGUUGAUACAAAACUUUGACCAGGUUAUAAAAAUCAAGUAAGAGGCUGGACUGUCUGAAUGAUUUUCUGUUCCUAGUUUUGGUUCAAUAUUUUCUUAAAGCGAUGCUUCCCAUUAUUUUUUUAUGGAUUGUGUUCUGCAAUCACACGGAGGGUUUUCAAAGACCCUGAUCACUCUAUAAUUUUUAAGAAACAAUAUUCUGUUUUUAUAUUCAGUUUAAUGGCUUUCUCUACCAUCCUGUAGCUCUGAAGCCGGGGAUGAUAAAUCAAAAACUAAUACUUCCAAGCACCUCACAAAAAUAAGAGCCUCUGAUAGAUUAAAUGUAGGCUAAAUGAGGCCCAUGGCUGAUUGGUUCUAAUUAGACGUAAGGUAAAUGUUCUCACAGCUGCGCGGGCUCUCCACACUGCCCUUUGCAGAAUCAUUUGAAAAUAUUUUGGGUCUGCUGUUGCUGAGACAAUAUGGCUUGGCAGCCUAUUGCUAACUUCAUAAGCUUGACACAUUCGUCAUGUAGACAAUGUUCUUUAUAUGCAAAGCUGUCAGGCAGACUGAGUCUAUAAUUCUUCAGUGCAUGAAAUCAUAUGAUGAAGCCCCGGUAUCAAAUUGGAAGCUGUGCUGGCGUUUGGAAUCUUUCAGGCAUGGGUUAGAAUUGUUUUAUGACAGAUACUCUUUUUACGACAUUCAUCAGUUAUGUUUUUGCAGCAUAACUCUAACUGUAGGUCUGCCUUUUUUGCUUGUUUGUUACUGUUGCUGUUUACAUAUUGGAUGAUGAGCCUGCUUCUAGGUUAUGUUUGACAUCGUGUGUGUGUGUGUGUGUGUGUGUGUGUGUGUGUGUCUGUGCAUAGGAGUUCGACUGCUCAUGCACACAUGAGGAAGCCAGAGGAAAAUGUCAGAUGUCACCUAACUCUGACUUAUUCUUUUGAGACAGAGCCAGUGAACCUGGAGUCAGACCAGCUGGCUUGCAAGCACCGAAGAGCUUCUCGCUUCUGCCCUAUGCUGGUGUUGCAAGCCGCUGGUUUUUUGCGUGGUUGCUGAGCCUUGAAUUGAGGAUGUUGUUUUACCUACUGAGCCAUUUCCUCACCUCUAUGCUUGGAUGUUUUAAAAGGACUACCUUCACCCUCACUCUUGCUUUCCAGACCCGCUCCAGAAGGUAGGAGGCAGCAGUUAUCUGCUUCCUUGGUUUGAUUAGCUCUCCAAAGAUAACACACAUCAAUGCACAUAAAGUGUCGCUUCAUCCCAGAAGUGCAAGCUGUGUGUGAUACCAAGCUCAUGUUGGACUGACCAGUGGGAGAAUCCAUACAAAGUCUGCAUAUAGCCCAAGGGGGUGGAUUUGGGAGGGUCAGUUUACAUAUUUUAUGCAGUGGUGAAAGUUCUCAAGAAAGCGAGCCACCCAUGGCAGCUUCGGGGGCUAAAUGAGGAAAGGAACGGCUUGAAGAAUGCACACAGCCCAUGUGCUUCAGGCAGCCCCUUGGCAAGCAAGUUCCUGUUGCAGAGUGGGCUGCCCGCCAACACUCUGCUAAACACUCCCCUGUGCUUCAUGCCCUGGAAUGUGGGAGACGCUGUAACUCUGGGAAGGCCCAUUCUAUAAUGUCUGUCAUGGCUAGAGCUUGCCAGGCCUCAGAGCCACCCAUCUCAGAACCCAACAUGGCAGGGACAGGGUUUGGCCUGAGCGUGAAGCUGCUGAGAUGUGCACUCUAGUCUCUCUCUCUCUCUCUCUCUCUCUCUCUCUCUCUCUCUCUCUCUCUCUCUCUCUCUCUCUCAUUUCUUCCCUCCUCCACCCCUUCCUCCUCCUGAAUUGUUUUAUUUCUGAAGGGACGCCUGCUUUGCAUGUUUUGGAAUGAUUAUAAGAUGUCCACGGUGAGCAACUCUCUCUUGGGUGUGGGGCUGUGCAAACCCGAUUUCCCAGCUGCUCAGCCUUUCUGGUUUUUCUUAACAAAAGAAAACCCGUUCUUCUGCGGCCCCAUAAGUUCACUGCAAAGCCUCCAUCUGGAACGAAUUCGGCAUCUUUAACAAAUAUGUGUUCUCUCUUCAAAACCCAUCUAAAAAUAGUGCUCAGGCAAGGCAGACGAAAAUAUUUUGACGUUUUCGGUGUUUCGUGGGGUAAGCACAGUUUGAAACAGGCUGUCGGUUAAUUUUCACACGAGCAAGAGCCGAUGUACUUUUUCUGUCUGCGUGCACAGUGUAUUUUACUCCAGGGUGAUUUCUGAUUCAAAACAUAACAUAGCAAUUGUGUUUGUUAGAAAGCCCAGCUUUUAUCACAGCUGGCCCUCAUACAGAAUUCAGGUUACAAGUACCCAAAGAGAAAUGUUCAAUUGAGUUCUCCUGACAUAUGACAGUAUUCUUAAAAAAAAAAUAGUUUUGCGUGAGGAAAAACAUAGCUAUCCUAAGAGGAGUCCUUAUGAUCUACAUUGCAAAUCAUAUUAAGGUGUUGACUUCAGUUCCAAAUGAGGGUUUGCCCUUUUAAGCCAAGUGCCUCUGCCACAUGUCCUUAUCUGGGAGUCUGACACAGGAUUAUCACUAUAAGGGCAGCCUGGGCUAAACAGUGAUAAUGCUCAAAAACAAAAAUAGAAAAGAAAAAGAAAGAAAAGAAAGGCUGCAAGGUUGGCAGAGCAGCUAAGAACACUUUCUACUCUUGCAAAAGCAACCGAAUCCAGUUCCCCACAUCUGUGUCAGGCAGCUCAUGACUGCCACAAACUUCAGGUCUAUGGGAGGUGAUGCUCUCUUCUGGCUUCCGUGUGCACUGAACACAUGUGCAUACACACUUCGAAACAAAUAUAAAGCAGUAUAUCUAAUAUUACAGACCCAGGAAAUGUUUUAAAAGUCUUCAAAAAGCAGAAUGCAUUCUGUCAUUUAUUAAUUAAUCAGCUACUAUGUGUUAACCACUGUGAAAGAGAUUCCAUAUAUAGGCCAUAUAAAGUGUAAUAGCUAUACAGCUACAUGCUUUAAUUGACUCAUGUGAAUUUUUGACUCUGUGAUGGAGAACUGAAGCUGGCAAGGUUUAGCACAUGGCUCUAGGCGAUGUGGGUGGUUCACAUUGAGAAACAUAAUCAAACCAAGCCUCAUACUCUGCUUCCCGAUUUUACAUCCUCUUUGAGUAAAGAAGAAAAGAGUAAUUAUUUAUCUUUUUGUAUAAUAUCCAUAUUUAAAUUAUUAGACAAAGUCAAGUUCAGAUCCAGUGCAUCUCCUUUUUCUUGGCUCUCUAAUACUCUCUGAUGCUCUAACAUAUAGAUCCAGUGUAUCUCCUUUUUCUUGGCUCUCUAAUACUCUCUGAUGCUCUAAUGUAUAGAGUCUGGGACUGGAUUUUUAACAAGGUUAUCAUUAGAGCCUCCUUGUUUCAUUUUGUUAUCUUAUAGAUCUCCAUAAAAUCAGGGGGAAAUGUUGCAACUUAAAAUUGAUGGAGAUGUAGACAAGUGUUUAUUAAUUAUUGAAAACAUGGCUAAAAUAGAAUCAAUUACUGGUAGCUGGCAUGUCCUUUUAGGUAGGUUUUUAACGUUUGGGAAUUCUCUUGUUUGAUCAAAACUGCUCUUCCUAUAAUAAGCACAGAUUCUGUUUGGUGCAGUCAGCUUUAAGAGCCCAAACAAUGAGAACUGUUCAGGUUUAGAUGCACAGCCCAGUGUCACACUGCUGUUCGUUCUCUGAAUGCCUAGAAUCCCAGAUGCAGAGCAGUAGGUUGCAUGCAGUGAGGUGCAUCUCCUUAGGUUGCAGCACAAAACACCAUCUUGAGGCUGUAGUCUAGAAAAGAGUGAAUUAGUUGGGAAAUAAGCCCAUUGCUGUCCCAAUUCCCAGGAUUGAACUUGGGUCUUCUACCUUUGCAUCUCCAUUUUAAAUAUGUUUUUAAUAGGUUCAACAGUACCUAGCAGCAGACUCUGCACCCAAGACCAAGGAAAGCUCAUAAUAGAAAGGUCUGGACCCAAUCUACAUUCUGCAUGUCUGGGUCUCUCUCUCCCUCUCUCUCUUUUCUUUUCUCCUAAAAGCCACAACGAUUUUGUCUUUGAUUUGCAUUCAUUUUUAUGUGCCAACUACAAACUAUCAGUCCCAGCAUCUUAGACACUAUAAAUGAGGCUUAGCAUGUAUUUUAUACUUCAUCAGUGAAUUAUAUAAUAGCAAGUGAGGUGUCUCAUACUUUCCAGAUUGACGUCAGUUGAGGCACCAGAAAAGAGUAAACUGGCUUGCCUUCAGUUCUAUAAUCAUGGCCCUUGUCGACUAUAGACCAGAAUCUCUCCUGCAAAAGUUUAGCAUAGUGAGCUUUCAAAGUGUGGCCCCUUAAAUAGCAGCUGCAACACCUUCCAGGAAGUUGGAAUUAAUGUAUAUCUUCAGAUACCUUCCCAGACUGACUGAGUCAGAAGAUGUGCACGGGACUUAGCGAUCUGUGCCUUUAAACCUUUCUGAGGGCUGAGACUCCAUUAGUAAAGUGUCUAGACAGCAUGAGGGCCUGAGUUUGACUCCUUAGAAGCCAUAAGGAAAAGGAAAACAAAACCCAAACUGGGCGUGGUGGCCUGCAUUCAUAAUGUUAGAGCCAAAUAGGCAAACACCGGCAGAUCCCCGGAGCUGCUCACCAGACGUCCUGGCUUAUCCUAGGAGCUCUGGAAUGGCAGGAGACCCUGUGUCAAAAAUCUACUGUGGACUGCUCCUGGAGAAUGUCAACCAAAGUUAUCUUCUGGCCAGUACAUGCAAUGGUAUUCAUAUGCAUUUGCACACACUUAUACGCACAUGUAUAUACACAUACACACACAUAUACAUUUACACACUCACACAUGCAUAAACACACACAUAUGCAUACAAACAUGAGCACAUGCAUGUGUACACAUUCAUACACAUGUGCACACAUGCACUUGCUAUGCUCACACAUGAACAUACAUGCAUUCACAUACCUGUACGUGCACACACUGUUUUAAUUAGGGUUUUACUGCUGUGAACAGACACCAUGACCAAAGCAACUCUCAUAAGGACAACAUUGAAUUGGAACUGGCUUACAGGUUCAGAGGAUUAGUUAAUUAUCAUCAAGGCAGGAACAUGGCAGCAUCCAAGCAGGUGUGGUGCAGGAGGAGCUGAGAGUUCUACAUCUUCAUCUGAAGGCUGCUAGCAGAAUACUGGCUUCCAGGCAGCUAGGUCAAGGGUAUUAAAGCCCACACCCACAAGCCCACACUUACUCCAGUGAGGCCACAUCUCCUAACAGUGCCACUCCCUGUGCCAACCACACACACACACACACACACACACACACACACACACACACACACACAAAACCCUACCUUUCAGGUAGUCCUGAUGAACACUCAUAUAUAAAAGCUACCAUUCCACCUAUUUAGAUUAUACCAGAGAGGUUUUGUUCCCUUUCUUUCUGCUCCCCUCUGUUUCUUCUUUCUCUUAUCCCUUCCCCGAAUAAUUUAAUUCCUCCCUGGUACUAUUUUUGUUCUGUAAAUACCUCAGAUUCUUUGUUCUACAUAAUUAAUGACUUUAAAAUAUCUAUGUUAUUAAGAUGUCACUAUGUCAGCUGUCAUUUGGGACUCCUGACAGUGUUUUGGAUCAAGCUUGCCCCGCCUAUGUGAACCAGUGGCCCAGCAUCAUCAAAACCUUGGUUUUGGUGUCAUUCUUGGCAAGCAUGUUUGCUCAUUUCAGUGAUGACCUGGCUUGUUAUGUCUGCUUCACUGGCUACUAAUUGGCAUGCUUUUUAACAGACACCACUCAGUGGUCAGCCACUGGAAGCCAGACUCCUCUCUCUCACUAUUCUGUGACUCCUGUGUGUGAUGAUUCCUUGGCGGCAUCUCUGGGAGGCAGGAUUAGCAUGGAAGCCUGCCUUCUCGAGGACCCAGCCCAUAACUCUCCUGCAGAUCAGUUGGGAAGUUUCAUUCUUCAAGCUCUGAUGCUCAAUUCCCCUUUUUUACCAACACUAAAUUCAGUUCAUUAUCCUUGUCUGACUGAAGACAAGUGAAGACCAAAGGCAUGUACAAAUGAAAACAAAACCUAGGAAGCAGCACUGUGGAGUGUGCCCGAUAGGACCUCGGUUCUCUGUUGGUGUUCUGUGUGCUGGUAUGAGCGCCGGGAGCGGGAGGCGGGUCCCCAUAAGUGUGGAGCUGCUGUUUUGAAUUUCUUGUCUUCUGUUGUCCAAAAAUAUCUGAGAAAUGUUAUGUUGCAGACAUUAAUCAUGGUUAUUAAGCAAGAAGAUCGGAGAGCCUCGUAGGUGUUGCUUAACUCCUAACAGCACUACAAGGUGUACAGACAGUGCAGAUAUGCCUUAAUCCUUUGGACUUUUUUAUUUAGAGCAGAAUUUGGGUGGGAAGACAAUUCCACAAGUAAACUGCUUCAUUGCAAGCAGGAAGAUCUGAGUUCAGAUCAGCAGAAACCAUAUAAGACAAAACCACAGCAAAAAUAAAAUAAAAUAAAAGCCCGCAGACUGAUAAUAUCAGGCCUGGAGAGGCAGAGGUGAUUGAUUGGUCCAUGGGGCUGGAUGGACAGACAGCCUAGCCUAUCAGUUAACUGCACCGAAGGCCUAGCCGGCCGGGCGGAACUUGUUUGUCCUUUGGUGCCAAGGUACACAUACAUAUUCAUAUACACAUGUGCAAAGGUGCAUGAACGAACACAUUUAUUCUGAAUGUGAAAAGUUUCAAGAUGGCGGCAGGAGACAAUUCGUCAAGAACACCUUCUAAGCAAGAGCCCCUUGCUUGACAAUGCUCCCCCAAAACUGGCAACUGUCUCCCCUUGGCAACUCUCCCAAUAGAUUUUUCUCCUUUGCCCAAUCCACAGAAGCAGGGGCAAGCUGUCUCCUGACAGAAUGCAGUUUGUAGAGUCUGGUACACAGACAGCAUCUCUCCUCUUAAUGGGGGGAUUUUGAGAAUCAAGGAGUACUUUCUCUGGUGGUCAAAUAAAUUGAAAAUGAACGUGUCUCAAAAUCACUUGUAUCUAUCCCAUUUGUCAAGCUCAUAGCAUCAGCUUCAGGAUUGUAUUAGCCAGCUUUGGCGAAAUGCCAAAUCCUUCUUCAUAUUCAACCGUCAAGAAUCUUUACAGGAGAUUCCAGAACGCCUUUGCUGGAAUCCAUUAUGGCAAGCAGCAGCAAAACCAGUCUGCUACGAUCCCGUGAAAUGAAUUCCGUGUUUUAGGAGAUGUCAAAUAUCCUUGUUUCUUCUGUGUUUGGAUAAGAUAAUUAUAUCCUAGUGUUUCAGGGGCAUAGCCAAAAUGGUAGCAAAUCAAAUACAUUGUAUAUUAUUACCCUUUCAUACAUAGGAAUAUAUAUGACACGUGUGCAUAUAUAUGUAUAAGUAUUAUAUGAACAGUUUAGAAUGAGGUAGAUCCUGUUUGAACAGAUGAAAACCCAUUUUAAUUUGUUUGAAAUAUUCUUGGGUUUGUGUUCUUAGGUUUUAAUCUUCCAGCAGCACAUGAGAGGUUAUGUACAUCACUCCCAGAGUCUAGAGCUGGCCACCAACAAUGACCCUUUUGCCGUUGGGGAGAGCAGAACCAUCUAUGUGUAUAUGUACAUAGGCAAUGCUCUUGUAAAACACAUAUAAAAAGCAGAGAAUUAAGCACUGCAGUCUUCAAUCUUUUCUUAUGGACAGAGGCUGGAGAGAUGGUUCAGCAGUUAAGAGCACUGACUGCUCUUGCUGGGGACUGGAGUUUGGUUCCUAGCACCUAACCCUGGAGGCUCACAAGCACCAGUAACUCUCUCUCUCUCUCUCUCUCUCUCUCUCUCUCUCUCUCUCUCUCUCUCACACACACACACACACACACACACACACUGAAAUAAGUAGUAAGCACUACUCUUUCUAUCAAAUGCAUACAACUGACCUGAUAGUGGUAAUUGAAUAAAAAGUUACAUUCAGACCAUUAAGGCAACAUUCUUAUGUUCUCUGGUCUCCUGAUGGGCCAUUUGGACAGAUAUAGAUCAUCACCCAUCUUUUCAGAUAAAGCAAGAGAUUCAGGGAAGGAUAAUGCUGCCCCUUGCCCCACUGAGGAGCUCCAACACUGGUUGGUCGCACUGCUAAAAUACACACAUUUCCCAUACUGUCUGCCAUCGUCAGGCAAAACAUUGCAAUAUUUCCUCAGUAUCUCACUUGACGAUCUCUCUUCCUUCCAGCUCUUUCAUAUUGAAUAAGUCAUGUAAUUAAUAUUCGACUUGACCAAGGUGCUUAUUAAAGCUCCGGGGAGCUGAGGGGAAUUUUCUUUGCUCUGAUGACCUGGCUGUGUUCUUGUCCUCAGAGCAGGUCAUCACAGCUUGGUUUCCAUAGUGUCCUCUGCUCUGAAUUAACAAUGUGUAUUUAUCCCUGGAAGUCUGUAAUCCCGCUAAGAGGCUCCGCCUAUUUAUCAUGUGUAGAAUUGUUAUCAUCUUCCAUCUUUCACUAUCUAAAACAAUAAUUACCCUCGCACAAAGGCAUUUUCCUUUUGAGAGAGUAAAGCCGUGCUCUGCACUUUAAGGACCAUGACAAACCCUUGCUAAUUGGAUUUUAUUUGACUGGAUUAAAAUCAGAGGGGCGAAUUUUCUGUUGUCUGUAACUUCACCUUUAUGGCUUGGCCUUCUCAAAGCAUUGUGUGCUCAGGUAAGAUUCAUCUCCAGGAACACAGAUAGUGUAGUCAAAGAGGAGAGAGUUGCAGAAAGAUACAAUGAACCUUGAUGCAUUCAUUGGAAGAUACAUUUUCAAACUGAAACUGUGGGGAUAAAUAUAGAUUGGUUCUGAGUUCUGAGCGCAGUCAGGAAGGGGCACCUUUCAUGUGAACACAGAGAGGCAACUGGUUUCCUGGCAAAUGGUUUAGCAAUAACCUGUGAGGUUCCUGAUGGAUUGCAAUCACUCUGUAGUCUGAAAACGGAACAGUGGUGUUACUUAAAAACAAACAAACAAACAAAAAACAAGCAAACAAAAAAAUCUGUCCUUUAAAAUAUGACUCUGGGGAUAAGAGUAUAGAAAUAGCUAAUGUAGGCCACGGAAACGUAAUGGCUCACACAGCACAACCUACCUGAACACCUGAAAUAACUUUAAGGGGGCGACUGGGGGGUUUUCUUAGUUGCCAAGAAUAUAAUUACCUAUUUUGAGCAGUUAUGUUAAAUUCUGUAAUUGUACUUUGUGUCAGAUGAUUUAUUUAUUGAUUGAUUAUUUAAUUUAUUUAUUUAGUCAGACGAUCAAUAAUAAAUCUUCUUUACAUUAUAUAAACAGUCUGUGUGUUUGAGGAUGAGACAGAGAGGAUCAUGGUUUCUUCCUCAGUAUAAAUAUUUGUCUUUAAGUUUGUAAGAAAAGAGACACACUCAAAAGCCAAAAUGCAAAAUACAAAAACAAAAAACCAAAACCAUUCUUUUUCAUUAUAUUAAGCAGCUUGUAGGGGGAAAAGUGAUUUUUUUUUCUGGCUCAUCUCAGAGACUGAAAUUCUAAACGUAUAUGUAAUAUAUCAUACACGUAAGUAUGACAUGACAGUAAAGGUUUAGGUAUUAGGAAAGAUUUUUUAGAAAUUUCUGAAAUGUUUGUAAAUCUGUAUAAUAACUAUUUAGUGACAUAUUCGUGUCUAUUGAUUUUAUUACAUUUUACUUAUUUAUCUAUUUAGUGCGUGUGUGUGUGUGUGUGUGUGUGUGUGUGUGUGUGUAUGUGUGUAUGUAUAUUUACAUGCCAUCACAUCAAGUGCAGGUCAGAGGACAGCUUUUAAGAGGUGGUUUUCUCCUUCCACCAUGUAUGUUCCAAGGGUUGAUUUCAAUUCAUCAAGUGAAAUAUGUAUAAAUGACCUGAGGAAGAAUCAUGAUUCCAGCUAAAGUCCUGGGUUCUUAUAUGAUAAUAUUUUGGUAGAAUAGUUCAUAGUCAUGUCUAUAAACGAUGCCAUAGACUUUAUCUCUAAGGAUAGGCCCGAACACGCAAGAAAGUCAUGUGUUUCUGCCUUAAGUAGCCUAACACUGGCAGUGUUGCCAGGAUUAAAUGAACUGCCAUGAUCAGCACGGAACAAUGCAGCUUAACACAUACAAUAUCCUGGUCUAUAUGUGAAUACUUUUGACAAUUUUUAAAACAAACUUUGCUACUAAAGAAAAGUGAUUUACAUUAUAAAUAAGUAAUAUUAACUAAUGUUAAAUAUGCAGUACCUUCUCUUCCAUGGGGCUAUAAUAUUUUCCUCUAAUGAAAAUAAUGUGCUAUUAAAUCCCAGAAAAAGUCCCUAACUUCAAAGGCAGAAGGCAGUGUUCCCCUCACUAGAACACAGAGAAUGGCGGUAAAGGAAUGCAUUGAGGAAACUGGGUCCUAGUGACUCUUUACUCUCUGAAUCACCUCUACUUAGAAAGUAUUUCCAUAAAAUAGUUGAGCAAACACACGGGCAUAAACUGAACCUUCCUCCUGCUAUUGAUCAUAAGGCUAGGAAGUCUCAUGAACCCUGAAAUGAGCAGAGGGCAUUCUCCCCCUGUCUUCUCUUUGAUGUUUUCAGGGCGCUGGCCAGAUCCCUGGUCCUUUUAUCUACAUUGUUCUCGUUCUUAAUUAAGGUAAUGCUCUGCAGACUUACACAGUGGUGUUUACAUUUUAUCAAUAAGAAAGUGAGCUCACACAAUAACAGGGUUAUACAAAGGUGAGUUUUGAACUUAGAGCAUUCAUACAUGUAUAGAAUGAAAGCAGAUCAAACCCACUCCUCAUUUUUCCCCUCCAAGUUCCCCUGGAUCCCUGUCCAUGCUCCCCUCUCAGCUUCAUGUCACACAAUAGCUGUGGCCACAGCUCCUUCCUAAGUGUGUGUUACAUAAUAUAGUGACCCAGGAAGAUGAAAUCACAUCUUGUUGUCUGAGAAGGAUUGCCUGAAUCGUUCUGGCUUAUGGGAAUAUCUGUGAGGGAUUGUUCUGGUUGGCGAUGAUGUACUCAGUGUGUGCUGGAUCGUUAUUUGUCAACUUGACAAAAGCUAGGGUCUUCUGGGAAGAGGGAACUUCAAUUGAGAAAAUGCCUCCAUCAGCUUGGCCUAUAAACAAGUCUUUAGGAGUAUUUUCUUGAUUAAUGAUAGAUAUAGGAGAAUCCAGCCAUCUAUGGGCAUUGCUAUCCCCUAUGUAGGUAUGAGAUACCAGCCUGAGCAAGUCAUGAGGAGUUCCUGCCUCAAUUCCUGCUACCAUGUUCCUGCCUCACUUCCUGCCCUGCCUUCCCUUCAUGAUGAAACAUCAACUGUAAAGGGACAGGGUUUAUCAAAGCAAGCCAGGAUAGGGGGCUCAGCCCACUGUGGGCAGCACUAUCCUUAGGCAGGUGAUCUAGGUUGUAGAUUAACACUGGCAAAACAUAGACCUGUGAGCAAGCCAUCAGUCAGCAUACCUCCAGGCUUCAUACUGUAUAUUUUGGCUGUGACUCAGUUCCUUGCUUCAUGGUAACUUUUCAUGGAGUAGUCAACAACAGAAAAGCAAACUAGAACACUGUAUUUCUUCCAGGAAAGCCGUUUCCUAUCAUCCACGUCAUCUGUCUAUUGCUCUUGCAGUGCACGGGUAUUGUGGACUCUGUGAUGGUAUUAUACAUAGCUUGUAAUACAACAGCAGGACCACAUGGCCUGUGAAACCUCUCCCCAAGAUGGCGGUCACUGUGGUACUGAAAAGGACAACAGAUAAGAUCUCCCCAAAAGUCACAUUCCCCUUAAUUAUUCAAGGGCAAUUGAAAUUCUCUUUUGUUCUGCCUCGCCAGGCCGGUUCAGACCCUUCUUUCGGGAAUUGCUGGUACUGUGCAAGUUCCCAAUCGCAGCGCCUAUUUUUAGUGCCUUAAGGUUUCCUGUGUCUAUAAAUGGCAUUCCCUCUGUGCAGGCUAAUGUCUUAAAUGCAGUCCAAAAUCAAUUAGCUAUUAUGUGCAACAAGGCUGUGCAUUAGCAAGGUGAAUGUUCUCUUGUGUGUUUGAUCGUCGGUAUCUGGCACCCAGACCUCUGGUAAGAAUUGGGGACAGUCCCUGGUGCUUUCCUUGAAGCAACCUAAGAAGCCAGACAACUUCACACACAUGCUUCUCCUGCCUCCCUUCCCUCAACAAACAUGUUAGUCACGUUUUCAAUAUUAAUUACAUAGGCCAUCAAAGCAGAUCACCUAGCCAUUUUAUCCAUAAAGUCUCCUUCAGGAACGGCCACAGAGACGACCCCUAGAGCCUGUCACCACUGACCCUAGCCCAGCUCUGCAGAACUCUUGGUUACAGCAGUCUUAAUUAUCAAACCUCUGAUACCAACCUUCCUAUAGACACCAUUUAGCCCACUUCUAGACAAGACUUGGCAGCCCUAUUUGUCUUGUUAAAGACCCUGAAGUUAAAUUACUGCCUCUUUGUUUUCCUUCAAGGCUCACUUGCUAGUUAUGGUGGAAGAGAGCUAUUGACCGGGUCUUACAUUCAUCUCCACUUCCUUUAUUAUUUUAAAUGAUUUCUCCAGGCUACAGGGCAGCAAUUUGCAUGUCUUGUUCAAUGAAUUCUACCUGAUAGUUCUGUCUAUACCUUUCCUUGGGAAGAGAACAGGAAAUCUGCAAAUGGAUAAAUUGUCUCUUGACAACUCCUGGGUUGAUCUACUCUGGCACAGAAAUGCUGUAGAUGUUAAUGUUCGCCAUGAAGACACUUAUUGACAGGGAGUCCUGCAAUCUUAACAGUAUUGAAGCAAGAGAAGUAUUUUUAUAUUAUUCUUUAGGGUGUGUGUUCAUGUUUAUAUGUGUGUGUGUAUGUGUGUAUGUGUGUGUUUUUAUAUGUGUGUAUGAGUGUGUGUGUUUAUAUGUGUGUAUAUAUGUGUAUGUGUGUAUAUGUGUGUAUGAGUGUGUGUGUUUAUAUGUGUAUGUGUGUAAAUGUGUAUUUUUGUAUAUGUAUGAGUGUGUGUAUGUGUGUGUUUAUAUGUGUAUGUGUGUAUAUGUAUGUUUGUGCAUAUGUGUGUUACAUGUUUGAACGUGUUUGCACAUGUCAAUGUAAUAUGUCUUUCUCUACUGCUCUCCACCUUAGUUUUUGACACAGGGUUUCCCACUGAGCUUGGAGCUUCUUGGUUUGGUUAUGGUGCCUGGCCAGUGAGCUCCUGCCCCCAUUUCCUGGAGUUCCACAACUGGGAUUCCAGUUGGGCCCUUGUUUGUACAUCCUGAUGGAUCAAACUCAAGUCCUCUACCAACUAAGCCAUCUUCCCGGCCCUAGCCCAUUUUUAUCUCUCCCAUGUUUCUGGCUGUAGGCUCUUUUAUUGAAAACUCAAUGUCCACAUGUGCAGAAGGAACAGAUGGAAAUAACUCUUGGGGGACAUAGCUUUUCCCAUCCAUACAUUUCACUUGCCUGGCAUGUGACUUUCUCUUCCAACAUGAUGCGCAUGUCAGCAUGCCACUCACAAGCGUCCAACCAGUUAUAGGGCCCCCAUUUCAACUGUCACUUGCUGCCAAAAGAGGUUUCUCUGACAGAGGCUGAGCGCCAUACUGUUCCAGGAAUAUGCACGUAAAACAUUACAAAGCAAAACAUCAGUAGUAAGUUCCCCCACCGGCCAUGUGGCUUUGAUGUCAAUGACUUAUCCGUGAAAUUGGGCUUGUUAUUCCAGCCCUCUGGCGAGAUUUCUAACUAGGAUGGGAUACGGAAGGGGCACACUGGAGAAAAACAGGGAACUUUUACAUACACCCAGAGCUGGUCUGUGUUAGUGUCAUUCUCCAUUGGACUGCCUUGCUCCCUGUUAGAUUAGAAAGAUGGUCAUAGAAAAACAGCAGAUACCAUUGUGUAGAAUGGGACUCAGGAUUUUGUGUGCAUCAAAGCAGUGAAAGCUGUGUUCUUGAGCUACCCAAAUGAGGGGGAGAUGCAGAUUUGUUUCUGCUUUAUAUUUCCAUUUAAGCUAAUUUCUGGUAUGAUGUGAAUUAUAGAGAAGGCAUUGUGGUUUGAAUGCCGUAUCACCCCUAGUCUCAGGCAUUUGAGCACCUGGCCCCAAUUGAUGAUGCUUUUUGGUGAGGCUUUGACCAUAUGGCUUUAUUGGAGGAAGCGUGUCACUGGAGGCUUGGGGAGCUUAAAGAUUUCCCUCCCUCUCAGUUCCCUCUCUGUGCAUGCAUCUUGCUUGCGGUUUGAGAUGUGGGCCCUCGCUGGCUGCUUUAGCCACCCUGCCUGCAGUUCUGUAGUUUCUGCUCUGACAUCUGUACUCUAGCCAUCUGGUACCAUAACCCCAAAUUAACUCUUUCUUCUAUAAGUUGCCUUGGUCAAUGGUGUUUCAUCACAGCAGCAGGAACACAAGUAACAGAGGCAUUAAGUCUUACAAGUUCAGAACACCCAAGGUUCCCUGGAUUCAUUGUAACACAGUAACACAGGCAUUACAAGUUCAGAACACAAGUAACACUGGCAUUAAGUCUUACAAGUUCAGAACACCCAAGGUUCCCUGGAUCAGAUGGGCGCCAAGCUAUUGUGAGAAACAGUGCUUCUCCCAGGCUUCUGUUUACCCAGCAGUUACAUUUCUCUAUCCCCGUGAGAGCUGAGGUUUGAUGUUGCAAGGUGGGAACUCUCAGAGUACAAAGAAAAUAUCCUAUGGGAGAACUCCUUUGGCCCCAAAGCCUAACAUUUCAAUAGCUGUUGACCGUAACUUUCAAGCUAAGAGAGAUGUGAACAGCGGGUUCUUGCCAGGUUUGAGGCUUUCCUCCCUAUUUAUGUUCUGCAAAGCCUGAUGGUGGGUUUUCAUUUGAUGCCUUAGGCUACAUGAAAAAGUUUUACCAAGAAUGUUGGGAAUUCCAACAGGAAGUGUUGGGGCUCUGGAGGCUGAUGGGAAAGGGGAAGAAAGGAGAGUUGUGAAUGAUCCUGCCCGUUCCUGCAAUUUGAGGUCAUGCUCUUUUUAACAUCACACCUGAUCUGCUUAGGGGAAUGUUGGCAAACCAUCAGGCUAACUUCCCAGCAUUCUGAAGCUCAAGGCAAGCUGGGAGUCUGCGAGUGGCGCGUUCAUAGGUGAGAGUUUCAUGUGCUGCUUUCAGGUUGUUAAUUUAAAAACAAAUGUUUAAUAAAUAGGCCCUCUUAAUUCUAAUACAUGAGACUAACUAAAAUAAACUUGGUAGGCAAAAGAGUGGUCUCGGGACCCAUUUGUUUUAAUUUAGUAAAGCCAAUCACUCCUUUAAUCCUGCUAAAUUAUAGCCUACAUUGUAUAUUCUUGCUAAUUAAAGUUAUUAUCUAUGGGGGGGGGAGCUGUGUUCAGGACGGGGCAGGAGUGGACCUCUUGGGAAGACUGCCAUUUUGAGGAAUUGCAGGAAAGAGUAAAUUAUGUGGAUCUCACACAGCCACGGGGCUGUGAUGAAGUUCCUACCACUGAAAUUCAGGACUUGUGGUCCCGAUAAGGUUUAGAUGGAAUCGCAGUCUCAAUGGCUUGCUUUGGGAGCAGUGUACGGUAGACAGAGAACUCACAGUCUCCUGGGUUAAACUAGGAAGACAGAGGGAGUGCUAACCUAUCCUUUAAAACAUAGUCUUAAAGUUUUAAGACAUUCAUGUGUAUAAGUGUAUUGCUCUAAUGUAGGUCUGUGUACCACAUGUAUGUCCAGUGCCCACAGAGGCAAGAAGAGGGUACAGGAUCCCCCUGAAAUGGGGCUGCAGACAGUCGUGAGCUGUCCUGUAGGUUUGGAGAACUAAACCCAAGUCCUGUGCAAGAGCAACAAGUGCUCUAAAUCACUAAAACCAUGCGUCCAGCCAUAGUUAUUUCCUACUAACUAUUUUCUACUAACAUUCCAUAGUCAUAUGAAACACCUUGGCAGCCAAGAUGAUUCCUGGCUUCAACAAUGUCAAGAAUGUACUCAUAGUAAGAACAUAGCUGAAACAUUUUGGAAAGGAACACAAGUGUGCUGAGCCAUGUACAUCAAGAGCAGAUGAGAUGAGCAGUAAGUGAUUUUCCAGGUUCCCACUGUUAUCGAAGUUGGGGGAUCACACUCUGGGCUCCAAGCUAGGUUCAGCCACCUGUCCCCGGUGAGCCAACUAAAAGAUCUAAAUUAUUAGCAGACACAGGAAAAAAAAAAAAA